RNAcentral lists this ribosomal RNA (270 nucleotides) under uncultured archaeon. RNAcentral's name for it is "partial 16S ribosomal RNA". It matches the Rfam family "Archaeal small subunit ribosomal RNA", at positions 477 to 747 of the family's 1478-position model. The record is from RNAcentral.
CAGCCCCUCGAGUGGUGGGGAUGAUUAUUUGGCCUAAAGCGUCCGUAGCCGGCCGUGUAAGUCCCCCGUUAAAUCCAGCGUCUCAAGCGUUGGACUGCGGGAGAUACUGCUCGGCUAGAGAGUGGGAGAGGUGUGCGGUAUUCUGGGGGUAGGGGCGAAAUCCUUUGAUCCCCGGAGGACCACCAGUGGCGAAGGCUGCACACUAGAACACGUCUGACGGUCAGGGACGAAAGCUGGGGUAGCGAACCGGAUUAGAGACCCCUGUAGUCC